Molecule: ribosomal RNA, 254 nt
Filed under: uncultured bacterium
Lineage: Bacteria
Description: partial 16S ribosomal RNA
Rfam family: Bacterial small subunit ribosomal RNA
Source: RNAcentral
UACGUAGGGGGCAAGCGUUGUCCGGAUUUAUUGGGCGUAAAGAGCUCGUAGGCGGCUUGGCAAGUCGGGUGUGAAAACUCCAGGCUCAACCUGGAGAUGCCACUCGAGACUGCUAUGGCUAGAGUCCGGUAGGGGACCACGGAAUUCCUGGUGUAGCGGUGAAAUGCGCAGAUAUCAGGAGGAACACCGGUGGCGAAGGCGGGUCUCUGGGCAGUAACUGACGCUGAGGAGCGAAAGCGUGGGGAGCGAACAGG